GGACUUAGCCAUGCAUGCCUCAGAAUCACUGCAUUGCAGGAAUCUGCGCAUGGCUCAUUACAUCAGACGUAAUCUGCCGCAAAAAUGUUGCGGUCUCCGCAAGAUUGGAUAACUUGGCGAAACGCCAAGCUAAUACAUGAACCAACGGGACGCUCUCUGUUUUGGCGGUGGGGUAUCCCCUCACCGUUAUGGGACGUCCGGCGAAUGAAUGAAAGUAAAACCAGCGCCUUCACAGGCAGUAACACCCAGAAGUGUUGACUCAAUUCAUUCCGUGCGAAAGCUGGGCCAUCUGGUCCGGCGUCUUUUGACGAACAACUGCCCUAUCAGCCAGUGAUGGCCGUGUAGUGGACUGCCAUGGCGUUGACGGGAGCGGGGGAUUAGGGUUCGAUUCCGGAGAGGGAGCCUGAGAAAUAGCUACCACUUCUACGGAGGGCAGCAGGCGCGCAAAUUGCCCAAUGUCAAAAAAAAAGAUGAGGCAGCGAAAAGAAAUAGAGCCGACAGUGCAUUUUAUUGCAUUGUCGUUUUCAAUGGGGGAUAUUUAAACCCAUCCAAUAUCGAGUAACAAUUGGAGGACAAGUCUGGUGCCAGCACCCGCGGUAAUUCCAGCUC
This 609-nucleotide ribosomal RNA is filed under the name Trypanosoma lainsoni. RNAcentral describes it as "SSU rRNA". It matches the Rfam family "Eukaryotic small subunit ribosomal RNA", at positions 41 to 591 of the family's 1831-position model. Lineage: Eukaryota; Euglenozoa; Kinetoplastea; Trypanosomatida; Trypanosomatidae. The record is from RNAcentral.